This 43907-nucleotide long non-coding RNA is filed under the name Musa acuminata (dwarf banana). Its description in RNAcentral is "long non-coding RNA (MACU_LNC001155)". The record is from RNAcentral. Lineage: Eukaryota; Viridiplantae; Streptophyta; Magnoliopsida; Zingiberales; Musaceae.
GUCGCGAGAUCGAUCGCGGAGGCAGGAAUGGCGGAGCAGCUCACGGACGACCAGAUCGCUGAGUUCAAGGAGGCCUUUAGCUUGUUCGACAAGGAUGGCGAUGGUCUGAAUCCCCCUGGAUCCCAUUUUGUUCUCCACCUCUUUUUUACUACUAGAUCUGUGCCAAAUCUUGUGAUUUGACAGUUUCUUAUAUGUUUAUGUGAUUUCUUUGAUCGGAUCUAAUAUUUGUUUGUCUGUAUUUUUGGGUUCCGAUGGUUGGGACGCAACUGAUAUCAUCAUCGAUUAUAUGAUCCCACACACUCCCUAAUAUCUUAUCAUUUUUGUGUGCUAUUACUUUACUAUGAUGAUUCAUUGGUAGGUUCUGUAAUUAUUUUCUAAUUAUGCUUUAAAUAUAUUAUUAAUCACUCAAGCAAUUUGUUUUUUUCAGAAAGUGAGGAUUAGUUGAAUGAGUUAGACUGCAACAAUAACAAGUUGUCAUUUCUUUGUUAGAUUUAUAUGAUAAAUUAGUCAAAACUUAAGCUUAGUCUUCCGAAUAAUAAUAUACCGAACUAGAAUCUGGAUGACAUCAAUUGCUAGGUGGGAAUACUCUGGCCUUUUGGGUAUGAGUCAUGCUUAGGUUUCAUAAAUAUAUUGAUUUUACUGACAGAGUCAAAGCUAGGUCAUUGCGGCAUGAAGUUGGCAGAGCAACUCAGUCCAACAUAAGUAGUAAUUGGAUGCUAUUAUCUGCCCUGCAGUUAUUAGUUGAUACCAAGAAUGUUUUGGAGAAAGAAUAGAGUUACAGAUGAAAUUUUAGGUGGACUACAAAAAAAUGUUGAACGUGUUUGAGGAGACUAAGCACUGGUCUGCUUGUGUGUUACUUCUGAAUGCUUGAUCACUGUAUGGUAAUCAUGCUCCAUUUUUAUGCAUCAGGAUUUUUGGCAUAUAAUGCCUAAGUGCUGUUUGCUUUAUGCUGAUGUUUAGCACCUUUAUUAUCAUCUACCUUUCUGAGUCAGUUAUUCAUGCACUAUAUAUGCUUCAUUUUGAGCACUUAAGCUUGUAAAACCGUGGUUUUCUCAUGUAUAUGAUGAGUCAAGUUCUGCUACUAGUAGCAGUAACUAUAUGCCAUUUAUAUGAUCAUGCAGAUUAAAACCAACGGAGCUUGAAUAUUUGGAUAAUCCGGUUGUAUCUCGGCAGCCCAUAGCUAGCCAAUAUCUUUAUAGAAUUUAAGGGUUACCCAUAUCUGCCUGUACAUUAUAUGGAAGGUUCUACUCUACAAAAAAAAGAAUAGGUCAUUUUUUAUGGAACUCAGUGGCAUAUAUGAAUAUAUUUUUUUUCUUACUAAAUAUUGGCUUGAUUUGUAAGUUACACUGUUUGGAAUUAGAUUUACGUAUUAAUUAUGAAGAGUUGGAGAAGUAAGUUUCAUAUUGCUAUAUAGAGUUUUGAAGUGCUCUUAUGGAAUUACUAUAGGUUGUAUUACGACCAAGGAGCUUGGGACUGUGAUGCGCUCUUUGGGUCAGAACCCUACAGAAGCAGAGCUACAAGACAUGAUAAAUGAGGUUGAUGCUGAUGGCAAUGGUACUAUUGACUUCCCAGAGUUUCUUAACUUGAUGGCUCGCAAGAUGAAGGAUACCGAUUCAGAAGAGGAGCUCAAGGAGGCCUUCCGAGUCUUUGACAAAGACCAGAAUGGCUUUAUCUCCGCUGCUGAACUUCGCCAUGUCAUGACCAACCUAGGAGAAAAGCUCACAGAUGAGGAAGUCGAUGAAAUGAUCCGCGAAGCCGAUGUCGAUGGUGAUGGCCAGAUCAACUAUGAGGAAUUUGUCAAAGUCAUGAUGGCCAAGUGAGUCCCCACCACAAAACAAUAAAAACAAAUGCGAGGAAAUUUCAUGGCGGAUAAGUUGCAUGAUGUUGAUCUGUUUCCUCAGUUACCUGAGUAGGUGAACUAAAGAUGGGUGUCUCUCAUGCUAUCUUAUGGUAAUGGCUGUUUGUUCACCACUGCUUGUGUAUCUGUCCCUUCUUCAUUGGAGUGUUUGGUUUCAGCUGGAACUACAUGUAUGCUUCUCUUGUGUUGAUCUUUCUUGUUCUAACAUUACAAGUUCUGAACAAUGAAGAUAUAUUUUCUUCGCCAACCAUGCACCAGUUUCAUAGAUCCUAUUCUUAUUAUCUGGCUUCUAAUCAUAUGUAGUCUGUCAGGUGCUUGGGAUGGUCCAUUGAGUCUUUCCUUGGUUCUCAGCAGCAGUAGAAACAGUAAUUGCAAGUUAAUUGACCUUGUCUUGUCCCUCUUUAUUCCUUGAAUCUUAUGAAUCAAGAAAGAUCAAUGGAAAGUCUUUGCCGGUGGUUCCUUUUCUCUUUAAUUGCUUGACCAGAUUGAAUCCGAGGCUUAUGUUUUCAACAAGAUGUUACAGCAUCGUCAAGACUUGUAAUCACCUCUUAGAUCCAUGGUUCAUUAACUGGGUGUGUCCAGUGACAACACAGGAAGCCGAAGCCAUAUGUGGAUGGCAGCUGCAAUCGUAGCAAGGGAUUGCAACCCAAGUUACCAAGGUUUUAAUACCGAAAACAGUUCUAUGCUUACAGAGAUAGGAUUGGAUAGAUUUAUCUUUCUUGGAUCUUAGAUUACUUCCUAUAUUAUCUGUUCUGUGUCACAGCUAAAGAGGGAAGAAGGAAGGAUAUAAAUGUUUGUCCAAUAUUUACAAGAUCUAAGAUUGGACAACAAAUGAACGUUGUAGAAACACUGGCAGUCCAGAUUUAAAUGCUUAAAAGACAUAAAAGAGAAGAAACGAAUGCUUUAAGCCUUCAAGCACCAUUAUUUGGGCAUAUCGUCAUUCAUAUUCUCUUCGAGUUUGCAGAAAACAUCCUUCGAGUUGAGUUGCUUCAUGAGAGAGGAAGCUACAGCUCGCUUAAUCUUAGCGAGAAAAAUGAAGGAAAAAAAACCUUCCUGGAAGCAAUUAACAAUGCCAAGUAUGCAAACAGUCACAAGGAUCUUCUAAUUCUGCAUGUGCAAUUGAAAUUAGAUUCAGUAACCAAAAUUAUUGAUUCAGAUUAUGUAUUUGGAACCAUUUUCCUCGCAACAUGACAAACAUUAUGCAGUCCAGGCAAAAGAUUCUGCAGCCAACAAGUUUUUUCACAGUAACAGAACUUUACAGUGCAUUACCAGACCUCACAAAAGAGACAGAUCGAUACAUAUUAUUAACAUAUCGAAUCUCACACCACAAGAAUUGAGUCUUGAGAAUGAGAAUGCCAGUGAGAUCACGAGCUCAAUUAAUCUGAAAGUUUUUUUUCCGCACCUGAAACACAACAAAAUGGAUAUAUGACUUUCACAAACUCGGGCGAUGCUAUCCAACAGUAGAUAGAUGACUUUCACAUAUUUGACCCGCAUAUAAAACAAGAGAAUGUUCAAAAAAAAAAAAAGGAAUGGGCACCAAAGAACCCUUGCAUCUCAACAGUCGAGGGCUUAGUUACUAGCAGCCUGCUUAAAGAACCAGGGAUAUAUGAUACAAAGAUGAGAUAGAAGGCCAAAUGAAGGUCUUCAGUCUCCAGGCCCCGUCAUUUUGGUAUAUCAUCGUUCAUAUCCUCCUCAGAUUUCCAGACGACAUCCUUUAUUUGUGUAGACAAACUCCUAUAGAACUGCAGAUGACAAAUAAUUAAUAUAGUCAUUGAUCUGAAGCAGAAAACUAUCUAACUAGGAAAAUUGUUAUUCGAUUUGAAGUAAGGUAUUCAAUCAAAGGAGAUCACAUCCAAAGAUGACUCAGCCAUCUAAUCAAUACCUUCUGGAAUUCCAGAGUGUCUCCUUUUGCUUUCCGUACCUCAACCAUAUGCAAAGAAGGGGCCACUUGGAAUAUCUGAAAGUAAACAACUCUUAAGUUAGAAUAUAACAAAGGUUUUUGGGCCACUCUGAAACUUAAACGACAUAUUGUUAAACUUUAACCUCUGUUGCAACAUUGAGAUAUCCUUUUCUCCCUGCCUUCACAUUUUCAAGCCGCAUCUACAAAAUAAGGAUGAACUUUUAGCGAAAGAUUAGAAGCUAAAACAUUGAGAUUCUGAUAUGCUGCAUUGACCAGUCUAUAAGCAGAAUUUUUUCAUUUAAAAGAGGAGAUAAACUAAGCAUAAUAAGUUCAUCUGUUCCACGGAUUCAGAUACCAUACCUUGUAGUUUUUCUUCUUAAUAUCGAAGCCAAGAGGCUUUGCAGCUUCUUCAAUCUUUUUAAUGAUUUCUUUAGCUGGACACUUUGAUGUAAACCUAGUUUCCUUUUUGAGUUCCUAUCAGGUGCAAUAUGAAUAAAAUCAUAUCCAAUAAGCAAAAGAUGCCACACUAGAACGACAAUUUUGACAUGUUCAAUCCUCAAAAUUAGAUUAAAAAAAUCACAAUAACUUAUUUAUAUAACUGAGUAUUAAGAAAAGAAUUGAAGUCCAAUAAACAUUAAAAAAAUAUUAAGAAAAGAAAGCUAUUCUUCAGGAAUUGAAGUCCAAGAAAUGUGGAGACUAAGGUUCAACUUCAAUUCAAGAGUCAGUGUUCUACAAAGCAAAGUACCAACCAGAUCUUUGUCAAACAAAUUUCCAAGAUUGAGGCCCUUUGACAUUGAAAUCAGUUCAAAUGCAUUCAUAUGCUGUGGUUGCUCCUCGGUUCUUUCUGCUCCAUGGUGAUCCUGAGUGAAAAAUUCAUGGUAAACUCUUCUGGAUUCUGGGAUGAAAUUUAGCUGACCUCUAAAGUAAUAAGAAUGAAGGUUUGCAAUGAUCACUGUUGAGUGCCUUCCUAUAACUCACUUUCGAAUCUCUGAAAGCCACAUUGAUGUCAUCCAAACAUAUGUGAUGUUUUUCUUCAAAACGAGGUGGUUUAUAUCCUUUUCUGAACCAUGCAUCUUCCAAUAUUUCAGGGACAGUUAAUCGCUGCCAUCAGACAGAAAGUCAAGCUGCAAUGGUUAGGACGUUAGAAGUUAGAACUACAACAAUUCUUUUCUAAAUUAAACACGAGCUAGAGAAAUACAAUCUGGGCUAUUGAAGGAAAAUUAUUAUCAAUUUUGACAUGAGAAAUAAAAAGUUCAGGGAGGGCACAAAAAGCUUUGUUCCAAGAAAAAAAAUUAUUUUCAUAACCAUAUAUAGCAGACAUGACCAGGUAUUAACUUUCUUUAAUCACCAUGAGAUUUUCAUUUAAUCACCAUAUAUAGCAGACAUGACCAGGUAUUAACUUUCUUUACAGAAAUUCUUUCUUUUUUUCAAGUUUGAAAAAAAUAAUUUGCAACAAGAAACAAACAACUGAUUUCAGUUGGACAAUUCUUACAAGAAAAUUUAACAUUGGCUAAAUUGGUGAGAAUCUAACUUUUAGAUUGGUGAUAUCAUUCUUCCAAUUUGUAUAAUUACCAAUAACAAAGUUAUAGUAACAUGAUUUAAGGAUAAAAACUUGAAGUACAUCAAACUUAAAAUGACACGAUCCUUGCCAUAUUGUUGUGCAAUAUAUACAUACUGUCUCAGGGUUAGGAUCAAGUAUUCUGGCUAUCAAUCGCAUAGCAUCAAAAGAAAGCCAAGAUGGGUAAGUAAACUCAGCAGCUGAUAUCUGCAAGUGGAGGAAAAGUUCCUUGAAGAGAUAUGAAAAAUAAAAUAAGAGAAAAAUUAGAUAACUCAGACUAUGUUAACCUUUUUAUACAGAGUCAUAAGAUUAUCAUCAUCAAAAGGCAAAUAUCCAGACAAUAGUACAAAUAGAAUAACCCCACAUGACCACAAGUCUGCAGUUGCCCCAUUGUAACCUCUGUCUUCAAUGACCUAUUCAGAAAUAUCAAAGAAUUUCAUUCUACUUAAAAGUUAUCGGAUAUCCAAUAAGAAUAUAAUAUGUAAAGAGUUAUUAGCACCUCAGGAGCCACGUAGUUGGGAGUUCCACAAGUUGUAUGAAGCAAGCCAUCACCCUGGGAAAAUUUGCAUUUACAACAAAGAAUCAAGAUCAACAAGCAAUAAUAAGCCAAACAAAAGGGUUGUAUGCUUUCUGAAAAAUAACACAACUGUCUCUUAACAGGAAAAUAACUCAAGUCUAUAGGUAUAUAUGCUGGUAUGGUUCAACCAGUGUUUACUGGUCCGACCAUCAACUGGUACACAGACUACCCAAACCGAGCAGUCCGAUCUGGUUAUAUAUAUAUAUAUAUAUAUAUAUAUAUAUAUAUAUAUAUAUAUAUAUAUAUAUAUAUAUAUAUAUAUUCAUUCUUUGUCAAUUUUAGUUAGGGUUCAGGACCAUCCCGAUUCCUCCUGCUCAUGAGGAGGCCCGCACUGCUGCUGCUACCAGGUAGGGUUUAGGGUUAUGCUUAAAAGGGUCCUUUUACCAUAGGGUUUACAGCUUUCAUGUAUGCUUACUUAUAGCUGAUGGUUUCACUUAUUAUAGUUGCACUUUAUGAUUUUUACACUUUAUUGGUUUAUGUUUAUUAUUAUUAUUAGAGCAAAAAAUGAUUAAUUUUUUAAUAUGAAUCAUUUAUCAUACUUAGAUUAAAAAUCAAAGAGCAAACAAAAAUAAAUAAUAAUUUAGAAAAAGGAUAUAAAUUAAACUGUAGAGUUCCUGAAGAACAUCAAAUACAAUCUCUACGGCUCUCCUAAGCCUGGUAAUAGAUUGUCUUAUAAAUCUUUCAGAAAACCUUUGAACGACGAAAACAACAAGAAAGAGCAAACAAAGAAAUUUCAGAACUUAUAGGUUCAGCCAAAAGACUAACUCAUAGUAAUCAAACUUUACUAGGAAAUUAAAGUAGCAGUAGAAAUCAUUAAACAAAAACAGAAUAAAAAGAACUAAAACAGGCAGUAGAAACAAUAAAUAUUUUAGAUCCUAAAAUUAUAGAAUAAAAAACUAAAAAAUUGGUAAUAAAAUUACAAAUGGAAGUAGAGAACAUUAAAGAAAUAAUUAAAAGUCUACAAACACGAAUAAAAGAAUUAAAUAAAAUUGUGCAUGAGUAAGGAAGAUAAAAUUUUAGUCAAAGGCAUACAUAAAUUAAGAACAAAAUAAUAUACAUACAACUGAUUUUGAUACAGCUCAAUAUGAGAGAAAUAGUAAUGAAAAUCAAGCAGCUAUCCUCAAUACAAUACUAGAAUAUUUGAUACAAACUAAAACAGAAAUUAUAGAGAAAUAUAAAGGCUAGAGCAAUUACAACUAGAAAAAUUAAAAAUCCCAUCGAGAACAGCAAGAUUAACUUAAAAUAAGAAACUAGACUUUUCUUUUUUAGCUGAAACCUUUUGUAAACCAUUCUUCAUUCUGAAUGAUGUAGUUUGCUUGUUUAUAAAACUACUUUUUGCAAUCUGUCAUAUGCCCAAUUACACUACUUAAGACCAUUGGUCCUUCUAUGUGUAGAAAUCAGGUGGAUCAAACCUUUUAGCUUAUGGUUUGCAGCUUUCAUGCAUAUAGCUUUAAUGUGCUAUUUACAAUAGCCGCUGUUGAUAUCAUUGUAGUUAUUCUUUACUGUCUUUGUGCUGCCUUAAUUGUUGGUAUCAGACCAAAAUGUUUAUCUUCAAUAUAGAUCAUUUAUCUUAUUUAGAUUUCGAAAUUAGAAAGCAAAUGAAAAAUAAAAAAAUAAUUUAGAAAAGGAUACAAAUUAAACUGUAGAAUAGCUAAAGAACAUAAAGUAUAUAGUCUUCAAGGUUCCCCUGUAGAAAAUCUGAUAAUAGAUUGUUUUAUAAAUCUCUCAGAGAAUCUUCGAGAACAACAAGGACAAACAAACAAAGAAAUUUCAGAACUUAUUGACUUAGCCAGAAGACCAAGCCAUAAUAUAAUCAAACCUUAUUAGGAAACAUUGACUAUAUAAGAGAGCAAAUUAAGAAAGUAGUAGAAAUCAUCAAACAGAGUCCAAAUAAAAGAGAAUUGAAAAAGGCAGUAGAAACAAUAAAUAUCUCAAGUCCUAAAGCGAUAGAACAGGAAACUAAAGAUCUAGUGAUAAAACUAUAAACUGAAGUAGAAAAAAAAAAAAAUGAUAAACACAAAUAAAAGAGAAAUAAAAUUAUGCAUGAGUAAGGAAGACAGAACUCUAGUAAGUCAUACAAAAAUUAAGAACGAAAAACACUCCUGUAACUGGUUUUGAUACAGAUAUAUAUGAGAAAAAUAGUAAUCAAAAUCAAGCAGCUACCUAAAAACAAUAUUAGAAUAUUUAAUUCAAACUAAAACAGAACCCAUAAAAAGAUAGAAAAACUAGAACAAUUACAAUCAGAAAAACCAAAUAUCCCUUCAGGAUCAUCAAAAGAAACUAAAAAUAAAAAAAUUAGACUUUUCACAUAUAGAAUUUAAAGCAUCCAGUGGAUCAGAAGAUGGAAACCCAAUUUAAAGAAAUUAAUACUAAAAAAACAGUGAAAAAACUAUUAAGAGGAGGAUAAAAAACAGGAAAAGAAUUAGCAUUAUAUGAACAAGGAGACACACAAGCAUUUAUUGAAAAUAAUCUUAGAAGACAGAUAAAAAAGGAUGUUUAACAUAUAAGACUAGAUUUUUUGAAGGAAUCAAGAAAAUAAUAAGACAAGUAAAGCAAUGCGAUAUAGCAUGUGUAGAUAAGGCAGUCACAACAGACUUCAAUUCAGAUGAACUGCAAAAAUCAUUAACAGAAUCUUCAAAAUUUCAUAUAGGACUAAUAGUUAUUGGAAUUGUAACCCUAGGAAAGGAAAGGAGUAGGAGGAAUAGUUAUGACAUAUUUUUUUGAGGACCAAUUCAAUAAUCAUGAUCAAGCCAAAAUAGCUAUGCACGAGUGCAAUAUGAAUGACAACUAUGCUGGAAUAGGAUGUAUACCAGAAUUCUUACAAUUUAUCAAGAUAAUGUUUAAAAGAAAAAAAUUAUGACAUCAUUCCAGAAGCUAAUAAUAUUGCAGUCACCAUAGGCCCAAUAGGAAAAUUACACGACGACUCAAGCAAGGGAUUUUUAUUAAAAACAGAAAAACUAGUAGAAAGCUAUGCAAGCAGAAAUAUUUAGUAAGUUUAACUUAAAAAGUGGGUUUGACAAAUAAAAACGCAUGAAGAAACUAUCUCUACUUGCAAAGCUUUUCACUAACUUUUUUGCAAUUAAUAAAAAUCCUACAUUCGAAUCAUUGUGUAAUUUUAUAAUUAAUUCUACAGUAAACUGCAAUAUUAUUUGCUUUUGAGAUCAUAUCAUAAUUUUUGCUUUUAAACAGUAUCUUAUCGUAUCUUAAGAAUUCUACGAGGUUCAUAGAAAAAUUUGGUAUGCAUCCUAUUACUGCAUAGUUAUAAUUCAUAUUACACUCGUGCAUGGCUAUUUGGUAGCCUUGAUCACGGUUCCAGAACUGUUGGUUUCGAUUCUGAUUUCUCGAAACUAGGAACCAAAACUGAACCACAUAGGUUCCGAUUCUAAUUCCAGUUUGGGAGUUCUGGUUCGAGUUCGAACCAUCAAUUUUAUUAUUUUUAAUUAUAAAUACUUUAAAAUAUGAUAAAUUUGUAAUUUUAUAUCUAAAAUUUAGAAAAUAAAUGUAUAACUAUAAUGAGUAUAAUGACAUUAAAAAAAGUUAAUAUUAAAAGGAAUAAAAUUAAAAUUUUCAAUAAAACUAAAUUCAUCUACUAAAAUUUGAACCCAAGUUACUUAGGUUUAAAGUUAAGAAUUUAACCAAUACACCAUAAGUUCUAUAUGUGAUCUGUUUUUAUUUUUUGUCCUAUUUAACCGGUUCGAAAUCAGAACCGUCAGUUUCGGUUUCCUAAACUCAGGAACCAGAAUCGAACCAUGUCGAUUCUCGUUCAAUUUGGAACUGGCGAACCACCAGGCUAGUUCGGUUCCGAUUACAGUUCGAACCCAACCAUGGUCAGGGCUACUAUUUGGGCUUGAUCAUGGCUAUUGAACCGAUCAUCAAAAAUAUAUGUCAACUGUUCCACCUAUCAAAUUUACAAUUCCUAUUAAUAUCAAUCCUAUAUGAAAAUUUGAAUACUCUGCUAAUGAUUUUUGUACUUCAUCAGAGUUGAAAUAUGUUAUGACUACUUUAUCAACACAUCCUAUAUCGCAUUGCUUUCGUUGCCUUAUUAUUUUCUUUUUUCCCUUAAAAAAAUUUGUUUUAUAAGGUGAACAUCUUUUUUUAUUUUUUCUGAGAUUAUUUUCAUAUGUCUGUGUCUCCCAAGCCAUAUAAUGCCAACUCAUUUCCUUUUUCUAAGCCUCCUCUUAGUAGUUUUUUCACCCUUUUUUUUAACUGAUGAUUCCUUUAAACUGGGUUGUCAUCCUUUAAUUCAUUAGAUUUUGAUGCUUUAAAUUCUAUUUGCAUAAAGUCUAGUUUCUUAUUUUUAGUUAAUCUUGUUGUUCCCCGAAGGGAAUUUUUAUUUUUCUAGCUGUAAUUGUUCUAGUCUUGUUAUUUUUUUUCUAUAAUUUUUGUUUCAGUUUGGAUCAAAUAUUCUAGUAUUUAGCUAUAUCAAAAUCAAUUGCAAGUAUAUUUUUUGUUCUUAAUUUAUCUAUGAAUUUUACAAAAAAUUUAUCUUCCUUACUCAUGCACAAUUUUAUUUAUUUCUUUUAUUUGUGUUUAUAGGUUUUUAAUUGUGUCUUUAAUGUUCUCUACUUCCAUUUGUAAUUUUAUUAUCAAUUCUUUAGUUUCUUGUUCUAUAAUUUUAGGAUCUGAUAUGUUUAUCAUUUCUACUACCUUUUUUAGUUCUUUUUUAUUCAAACUUUGUUUAAUUAAUUCUACUGCUUCCUUAAUUUGUUCCCUUAUAUAGUUUAUAUUUCCUAAUAAAGUUUGAUUACAAUGACUUGGUCUUCUGGCUGAAUCUAUAAAUUUUGAAUUUUUUUUGUUUGCUCUUUCUUAUUGUACUGAAAGGUUUUUUGAAAGGCUUAUAAAACAAUCUAUUAUCAGGUUUUCUAUGGUAGAGCCUUGGAAACCAUGUAUUGACGUUCUUCAAGGACUCUACAAUUUAAUUUAUAUCUUUUUUUCUUGUUUUUAGUUUUAUUAGCUUUUUGAUUUCUAAAUCUCAAUAUGAUAAACAAUCUAUAUUGAAAAUUUAAUUAUUCUUUACUCUGAUACCAACAAUAAACAUAAACCAGAAAACGUAAAAAUCAUAAAGUGCAACUAUAAUAAGCAGAACGAUCAGUUAUAAGCAUACAUGAAAGUUGUAAACCCUAUGCUAAAAGGACCCUUAAGCUGCUCCUUCUUCCUUCUUCCUUCUUCCUUCCCUUCUCUCCCUCCGCCAGUAAUUCAUGUUAUAUUCUAGCAUACAAACACAUGGUAUGCCAGAAUGGACUCAACCGGGUCGAACCAUGGACUGCUAUAAAUUAGAUGACCAAAACUGCAAACCUUGAUGGUGAUAAUCAAGAAAUUAGGAAUAAAUGUAAUUCUUUUUGCAAAUUUUUUAUAUCCUGCAAUUUUUUCAAAGUUAUAGUACAAUAUUUUAAUAUACACCUAAUUUAUUUUUAAAUUCAUAUAGAAAUACAAUUAAAUAUCUAAUAGCAUCAAAAUAUAGGAAUUCAUCAAAUUAUCUCCACAUAUUUGUAAAAUUGUAAAAUUAUCAUUAAACAUGUAUUUCUCAGUGGAAAAAAGCAACAUAAAGGAAAUAUUAUCCCAUAUAGCUUACUCAUAUUCUGAUAAUUAAUGGAAGGUUAAAGUUUUGUACUUCAACCAUCAAUUUCAAAUGACUAACAAGAACUUGCAAGCAAGGUAUAAAAUAUCAAUACGGUGCCGAUUUCAAUUGACAAGGACUAGUGAAUAUCAGUCUGGUCCACGUUUUGUUUAAAUAUCGAGCCACUAAAUACUGACUUAUAUUGACUGAUAUGGUAUUUUAAACCUUGCUUUCGACUAUUGUUUCAUUUUAGUUAUUUUAAUUUGAUUCAGUUGUCAAAUAAGAAAGUAAAUCAUAGUGCCAUAGUGGUGUCAUUUGAAAAGUUGUUCCAAGAAAAUGAAAAAUAAAGGUCCAUAUAAUUACCCUGAUUUGUUGAGAUAGUGCACUUAACCCAAAAUCAGAAACUUUGAGGUUACCAUAUUCAUCAAGUAGCAAGUUCUCCAGCUGCAAGCAUUAGAUGAAAAUAAUCAAGAUUUAUUUUCUCGAAUAUUUGCUAAUAGCUCUAAAGAAUCUUGAAGUUUGUAGUGUGCAACAGUAGUUGAAUUACCUUUAGAUCCCGGUGAUAAACCCCCCUGCUAUGGCAAUAAUCAACAGCAUUCACUAGUUGCUGAAAAUAUCUCCGUGCCUCAUCCUCCCUCAUUCGACCAUGGUUGGACUUAACGAGAAAACAACACUUAAUAGAAUGAAAACUAAAAUAAUAGGCAGUGGCUAUGCAGACUGAGGAAGCUAAUAUAAAUUUCACAAGAUGUCUCAUGUGCUGAAACACAGGUAAGCUAGCUUGGUCAAGAAAGUAGGGAGCAACAAAGAACUGGUAAUUGUAUACAAUAGAAUUGACCUAGAAAAGUAUGACAUAAAUUGAUUUUAAACUUACAAUUUUAUCAAAGAGCUCUCCCCCUGUAACAUAUUCCAAAACAAUAAAGAUCUUUGAUUUACUGCCCAUUACCUACAAAAAUAGAAGCACAAUUUGAGAGAAAAGCAAAAACACUUAUGUUCAUCGCACAUCCACUUCAAGCUAGCAUACUUCAAAAGCUAGAAACUUGUUUCCUUAACAAACAUCAAUCUCCAAUAUGCAAAGGAAAAUACAACAUUUAACAACCAGUGCUUGACUAACAUCAUUUAAAACAUUUACUUUACUCGAUAAUUUCCUUUGUCCAUGGCAUCUGUUUAUAAGGGCACACUGUACAUCAAGUUUUCAGAUCUCAGACCAUAUUGUCAAUAUAGACUAGCAUUUACGGGUCUGACCAAAUACCAGUUUUGAACAUGGAGUGCGAUACUAGUACGGUAUCAUUCAUUUUCAUUUUGUUUAUUACCAGGUGGUCAGGUCAGUUACCGCUUCCUGGUAUACCCAUAGGAUACCAGCUCAAAUAGGUUAUCAAAACCAGUAUUAGAGAGAGAUUUAAAUCCUCGUUGUGCAUGCUUGCAACUCUGCACAUCAAAAUAAUGAACAUAUUUACCACUCAAGAUCUCUGGCAGUUAGAUAGUUUCCACCAAGAUUAGACUUCUGCUCAGAUUGUCCUUUUUACCUUAAAAGACUUCUAAGAAGCUAGUUAUCUGUUUAAAUAACUUUCUUCUUUGCUUAUGUGUAUCUGUAUGUGUAUCUCUUCUUUUGCAUGACUGCAUCUACCAUGUAUCGUUCCAUACAUGUGCAUGCGGACACAUUUGGUAGCAUCAAUUUCAAAAUCAAUAUUGACUAGCUCAAUUACAAAUGCAUCUUCGUCUACUUAGAUGUUUCAAAGGGCUUGAUGAGGUUUGGCAAAUACUAGUCUACUUGCAGCAAACUAUGGUGUGAGUUGCAUCGAAAUGUGUUUAAAGCAUGUUAGGCAUACAUAUCCAAGAGCAUGCUUUUCUGACAUUUCAUUUGACAGCGCCGAAUGUGCAAUCUUGAAUGAGAUUAAGCUGUGGAACAAAAACAAGUCCAUUAGAACCAUUAAUUUAUGCAACAUAAGUCAAAACUUACGGAAAAUAACCAGAGGAUGACCAAAUGGCUCAUUAACCUGUUCAGGUUUAUACAUGAAUACUUGUGAGUUGUGUGGGUGGGUUAUAUGGUAUACCAGUGCAUUUUAAAAGUUAUUUAAAGAUAGUCAUUUGAUAAUUCUGAAUUAUGAAAACAGCUUUCUUUGUCAUUGCUCUGGAAAUAGAAAUUAAAUAAAAGGUAUCAAGGAUUACCUCAUGCAGACGAACAACAUUUGGAUGAUUUAUCAACUUCAUAGUUGAAAUUUCUCGUUUAAUCUGCAGAAAACGACAACAGCAUUCGAUAUUUAACAUAUUACAUGCUUAAAACUAAGAGAUUACUUGGAGAGCUCCUCAAAAGUUGUGAUAUAGAUAAAACAAUCCAUAAGGAGUUUGAUGGACCACUAAAGUUACGCGUCUGCAAAUAUAAUCAGAUAAAGGGACCAUACAAAGCAUCAUUUAAUAAGAUGCAUCAGCAGCUGAUGGUACGGUGUCUUAAGAUGCAUUGGCAAUUCAUCAAAAAAGAAGUCCAAUAUUGCCAAGAUUCUCCAAGCAGAGAUAACAAGAGUGCUGAACUCAGGUUGCAUCAGUUGGACUUGAAUGAUUUUCUUUUAUACAAAAGAUGUCAAGUGUUGGUUGAUAAUAUCAAUUUUCUUUAUCUCAUGCAUUUGCAAAAACGACAAACAAUGAGUUUAAUGAACCUUUAGGACAUCUGAUAGUAUUAGUUUAUCAAUUUAAUUUACAUCUACCUAGAACCAACAUCAUUCAAACAAUUCUGGUAUUUGACAAAACUGUGCAAAUAUGCGUCUUUUUUGUUUUUUUUUCAAACUUGUACAUCAAAUAAACAUGAAAAAUUAGUUGAUCAUAGUGGUCCAGAAAGAAGCAUGAGAUACCUCAGAUUGAGCUAGCUGAAUCAACUGUCAAAAGUUGAGACUUGGUGGUGCUUCCUGAUAAAGCAUUGGCCACCAACUGUUAUGCUCAUCCCACUUUUACAUUAACAAGGUCAGAAGCACAUCAUUAUAUCAUUUUGACCAGUGAACAUGAAGGUAAGCAGUCAGCCUGAGCAUGUGGUGCUAUAAACAUUCAGCAUCAAUUAACAUUAUCUUCAAUGUUCAUUAGGCAACAAUUUAAAGACUAAACUAGUGUAAUUAUGUUUUAGUAGCUGAUUGAUGGGGAACGUUGUUUUUAAUUCUUGGAGAAAAAAGCACAAGAAAUGUUGGGAAAUUGAAAGUGACCUGUUCAACCAGUUUGUGCUUGAGAACCUUUUCUUUAUCGAGGAUCUUGAUAGCAACAGGUUCCCCUGUUUCGGAGUUUCUUGCAAACCUGACCUUUGCAAAUGUUCCCUCCCCGAUUGUCCGACCAAGCUCGUAUCUUCCCACAUAACGCUUCACCUUUUGUGGGAUACUUGUCUUAGCUUUGUUCAUUAUGACUUCUUUUUGCUAUCCAAGAACUCAACUGCAACAGAUGCCUUUCUAAGUUGACUAAUUGAUGCACCUUGUUUGCUCUAUAGAAGAAUAAGCCCAUUAAUUCUUCAACAAAUUUCAGAGCAAAUAACAAAAUUCAGCUCAUUAUAUCUCCCUGUUUUCAUCAAAAUUCGGAGCAUAUAACAAGGUAAUAGAAGUUAAUCCAGUACUGAUCUUACCUAGCACACACAAGUCAAAGUUCUAAAAUACUACAAAAUUUGCAAAAAGAAUCAACAAGCUAAUAAUAGUCAGGCCACACUCUAGAAGAUACACAAGAAAGGAUCUGAAGCAUCAGCAUAUAGACAGAUUAUUAGUUAACUAACAAAGUUAGGACAAAAUAGGCAUCGAUCUUGUAUACAUAUAUCAGCGAUUUUCAGAUAAAGUAAAUGAGAACUGAAUAUCAAUGCUGAUUCUAAGAAUAUAGGAUGGAGCCAAUAUGUUGAAAAAACUAUAGCCACCAGCUGUCCCAUGUUCAGCAGAUCUCCUAAAGAACAAUUUUAUACUAUACAGAUACAGCCCGUGCAUAUCAUGCAAUAUUUGGCAUAAUACUAGAAGGUGGAAACAACUAGAGGGCCCUUGAAGUGACAAAGAUACAUAAUGUCAUGAACUGACAAAUUUCAAAGUGUGCAUGCAACCACUCUUUCUAUUGAUUCCUGGCAAAGAUAUAAGGAAAACUUGAGAAGCGUGUUGCUACUUGAAUGCCUGAGGCAAACAAUCCAUAGACUAGUUCUUUACCCAGAAGUAGCACCAAGAAGGCCUGAACUAAAGGCACAGGAAAAGAAGAGAACACCUACAUCCCAAAAUUUAUCUGAUAUCCCAGACUCAGAAAUAUCUUAAUAUCACCUAUUUAAACCUUUAUUCGAAUCUAAACAGUGUAAAUACUUAGCUCCAAAACCAGAAGAAAAGCCUUUAAGAGGAUUAAGCAAUACUUAAACCUUUUGGUUAGAGGUAAGAUGCCAAUUUCUGAAUAAAAGACAUGCCAACUUUGUCCACACAAAAACCAUAUGAAUCAUUAGAUAAGCAUCUCAAAAACCAUUGAUCAAUAAUCAGAAUAUAGACGCAAAUAAAUAUACAAGCAAAUCAGAACCAGUAAUAGCAAAAGAUUUUAAAAGUUCAUCAUAAUCUUUAGAUUAAGCAAAAAGUGUUUGCAGAAAUCGCUCUGAUAGGAUCCCUUACGACAAUUAGAUGAAAUAUAAUCUUUUUUACUUUAUUAUUUUAGAAAGGAGAUUAAACAAUAAUUAAAAAGAUGAAAUCCCCUUCAAACAGUCAAUUCAAAAAACAAGCGGUCAACGAACAGCAGCAGAACCACAGAUCCGCCAUCGUCUACGGACAUCAGAUCAGAAUAGGGUUUCAACUGCAUUGCUAUAGAUCCAUGAAAAGAUGUCUUGAAACAAGAAAGGAAGUGGAGCGAUCAAGUCGUGGAGGCAAAUCAAACAGACCUAAGAUUCAGAACCCAUCUACAAAAUCCGAACUUACAAUAAAUAGGAACCUUAAAAAGAUCUGAGAACCCACCUGUUCGAUUUCAAAUAAAUCGAUUCAAACCGAUACAAAGCCCGAAACAAGUACAAAAUUGGAUAUUUAUUGCUACACGAGAUCAAAGAAAAAGAGAAAAGUACCCUCAAAGAGGCAGAGUAGCAGCAUGCAUCAUUCAGCGGUAAAAGUAACCAGAAAAGAAGGCAGGGGAAGUAGCGAAGGAAGAUAACAAGGAUGUGAUCAAUGUGGUGAUGGGAGCUACGAUAUACAUCUAAACUCUCUCCUUCGUUACGAGAUCUGAUCCAACACAAGAAAGCGACAAAAGCUUGGCCCGCGCGUUCUUUGUCCUUAUCUUCUCACUCUCUCUCAUCCUUUUGAAUCGAAGUAGGCCGUAGUAAGAGCGGUGUCUUUUCGUACCAUUUCGACUGACACCCGCCUCCAAGUGUGACUCGUCUCCGCCGUUGACGCCCUGCUCGUCUGCAACUUUUUCCUCCCCUCAGGCUUCCUCUAAAUUUACCCCGUGCUCUCAUUCUGCUUCCUCCAUCACAACCACAGAAUCCAAAAAUCCUAUCUUUAAAUCAUAAAAACUUCUAAGAUCGUAGGAAAAAAUAAGCCUAUGAGAAUCUGAACCAGAGGGCAAAAAUCUCUCUUAAAACAUAGAUUUUUUUUUAUGGCAGCAACAAUUUUGGAGUUUCUUCCGAUCUCACACAUGGUCUGACAAUUACCUUAAGCGAUUCCGAAGUGCACGACGCGUGCACAAGAUCGUCGUGGAGCGCAAGCAACAGCUGCAAGCGUGAUAGCUCCUCUACAAGAUCUGGCUCCGACCACCUUCGACUUGUCUCCUAUUACCUACUCUUCGUUCUUUCCUGGCGACGUAUCCCUUCCUCAAAUGACCUCUUAUCUAUAUCUACCUUCCAUUUUGAUCAGUGACUGUGACAUUUAAAUUGGGAUGAGAUAGGAUUUGAUAUUAUCACUUUUAUGUAUGUUUUUCCUUACUUUUAAUGCUGACGUCGUAAGUUAUUUGUCAAACGAAGGCUAACAAGACAUAUAUAUAUAUAUAUAUACUUUUUUUAUUCGGAGGGGCAAACAUGCUAUUCCACAACUUUGGAAGGACAAAUAUGUAAAACCGGUGAUGCCUAGCCCACUUCAAUCCUGGCCGCUUCGCAUAGAGUUUAUUAGCUCGAAGCUGGAUUGCCCGCCGCUUCCCUUCCUUCCCUCCAUCGAACCAAUCCCUUCCAAUACCAACUGGGAAUCGGGUUUCUUCAAUCAUGGAGGCGGAUGAACCGCGACGCAGUCAUCAUUCUCCACGCCGCGUUGAUCCUAUCGAAGAACAUUUAAUCGAUCAAGGGUUUUUGCCUUCGAAAGACGAGGGCGGGAAGGACGACAUCCACGGGCUGACGAAGCAUGAGUCUAGGGUUUUAGCGAAGAAGUGCGGUGACCGCAAUCGGUUUGCUUGUGGGAGGAGGUUCGGGAUAGGAGAUGUUGUUUGGGCAAAGGCCUUCGCUUACACUUGGUGGCCCGGCCGAAUCGAGAAGAUGAGAGGUUCCUCGGCUUGGGUGUCGUUCUAUGGUUGCGUCAAGUCUCGGUUGGUUCGGGUUGUGGAAAUCCAUGGAUUUGAGGAGAGUUAUGCGCGGAUGCUGAGGAUAGGUGGGGUGAAGUUGUCCGAUGCGGUCAGACUUGCUUUGGAAGACUUGCAGCGGAGGACUGCUUUAGGUUUGAUGUGUUCUUGCAGGAGUUCGGCUAUGGGAGUUAGUGAAGAUUUGGAUGAUCAGAUUGCCGAAGCGACGAGGUUUGAGCCCAUGGAGAUGUUGGGUUUUGUGCUUGAUGUGGCGACUUCGGCUUGGGUUGGUGAAGGAGAAACCGUGAAGGCUGUUAGGAUGUCAGUGCAGAUUUCUGUCUACCGGCAACAUGUGUCGAUAUGUCAGAAUAGUGAAAUAGAUGAAAGGUUUUGCCCAGGUAAAUUGUUGGAUUUUGUCACCACGAUGGCUAUUUGUUGGUCCAUUGAUGAUUGUGACUCUAGCAGUGAUUCAAAAGCAGUGGCACAACUCGAUGGAUAUAGGAAAUUUGUUUCGGUCUGCCCAAGUAGAAGGAAUCUGCAAAUUGUGGAACUGGAAGACAACUUCCUCAGCGAUGAGUCCGAAGGUAGGUUGAUAAGCUCGGUCAAUAAAAUUUGAUAUUUGUGCAACAUUUAUGUUUCUUUACCACAAUGUAUGUUCUAAAAAAUAUGUUACAUGUUGAUAACUUGUUCCUAUGUUAUGUUUUGUCUCUAUGACACAUUUUACAAGUACAUCAAGUGUAACUAGAUCUAGUGAAUUAAUGGAAAGUGGAAACAAAGAGCUUUUUGGAAAAUAUUAAUCUUAUAUAUGCAGCGUUGAGCUACGUAACUUCAUAGACCUCGGAUGAUUAUUGCAGAAUUUCAUGCUGUCUAAGUUGGCUGGAUUCAUUAACAAAUUAUAAUUUGAUGCUUUAUUCUUUUUCAGUUGAGAUGCUCACCAUAGAUUGACAAUCUAGAACAGGUUUUCGAAACCAUGUGAAUUAGUGUGGUUAUUGAUUUUCCUAGAUAAUAAAAUAACAUUGUAAACCAACUGCCUUUACCUUCUGCAGAGAAGUAUGAUGUGUCAUCUGCAAAAAUCAACAAUCAUCAAGUAAAACAGUCAGUAUAGUCCCAUUUUUCAGCAUAAGGAUUAUUCAAAAAGUUCUUGUUUUAAGAAACAUCUUGUCCUCCUCUUUUACCCUCUCAAUAGAAAGUCUUAGAUUCCUCCAAUUUGUUGACAUAGCUUAUACUCACAAGAUUUUCCCUAUCAAGUCCAUAUUUAUAAACUGCUGAUCUGUUGAUGUUAUGUGAGGAAGUACAGAGAGAGGUAAUGAAGAAUAGAUGGUGUUUGCAAAUUGAAGUUCAGUUACCCUUAUCGCUUACUAGAUGCUCAUAGAUCUCAGACUGGCUAUUAAGCUAUUAAGAGUUUUAUACUGGUAUAUUAUAUUAAUUUUUGUCGUGCUCUGUUCAUUUUAUUGAAUAACUCAACAAAUAAUUGGAGGUUCGGAGUAGUUCGUCCAAUUAAUGUUCUAUGCAAGGAUUGAUGGAGAAGAGAAGUAACGAAUGACUCAUUUUUGAAUUUGUAUACUCAUAAACCUUAGAGCAUAUCAGUGUUAAGGGCAGAAUAAAAGUUGAUAAUAGUAGUAUAGCCGAUUCCUCUUGAGAUCAUAUCACUUUGAACUUACCUCCGAGCUAGGGGUUUACCAUUAUUUUCAUCAUUCAUCAGGACCUAGAUUUGCUUCUUCAUGGUUGGCAUUUUUGUUUUCAUAACACCAAAUUAUUUUUAGGUGUAUGAAGUAAACAAACAAGAAUAGGAAACAUGAUUUGGCCCACAUAUAGGUCUAGAAUAUUUUAAAUAACUUUUGUCAGUUUGAGAUCAGUCAGAAUGCAAGUGCAGAAGGUAGGCAAUUCCUCUUUUCAAAUUGAGCACAACAAUUUUCCUUUUAGUUUUCAAGGUUUUGCUAGAUUGUCAACCAGAAACACUUAGAUUUUCAGAUUUCAUUAUCAUUAUAUAACCAGUUGCACUACCUUCUUACCAUGUAUUCCUAAAGAUUCAUGGAUCGCAUGAUGCAUUCCCCUUGUAUUACAUUAAAACCUGAAUUUUAUGCAAAAUAUAUCUAAUUAAAUAUGAACAAUGAUAAAAUAGAGAAAAGUCUAUCCUUCUAUUUGUAACUUGCUUUAGAACCAUCGGCCAGAAAGGAUGUAGAUAUGAUAAGUGAAAAAUGGUCCUUCAUAGUGCCCCUAAUGUAAAUUUUCUUUUCCUUUUUUGCUGGUAGUUAAUUCAUCAUUUUUCGGAGAUGGGUUGUUGCUCCAUUGAUGAAUCAGCGAUUGGGCAUGUUGUCAUUUUGUUUUUAUUUCUUGGGUGGAUAGGCUUUCUUGCACUUUUGAUUUAUAUGUGAGAAAUGAUGCACGGUAGAAUCUUAUGCAUAUUACAUGAACCUUAUAUAAUAGAGCAAGGAUUCAAGUUUCAUCUGGCAGAGGGAUCUUACAUCAAGCUAUGUGUAAUCGUGUGUUGCCAGUGCUUGUUGUUGUACUAUAGCUUUGUUGACUUUCAACUAAUUUCAGCUGGCACAUGGCGCAUGCUACUACAUUCUCAACUCUCGUAUGUUAAUAUUUUAAACCUCACUUUAAAGAUUCUAAAUUGCUUCCCAAUCAAAAGGAUAUGACGCUGAUGUGUGUAAUGAUAAAUUCCCAAAACAGAUGAUUGCCAUGAGAUGUCCGAUUCAUCAUCCGAUGGUGAGAUAGUAGUUGAAGCACGAGAAGUUACAGAAGACAAUCAUUUAUUUGAUAGACAAGAAGAUUUUGAGGUUGUUCAAUAUCAAGUUCAGGGUGAUGAGAUAUGCAUGGUCAACAGGGCAGAUUUCAGUCUCUUUGAUCUAGAUGAGGAAUAUGAAUCUCUGCAGGAUCAUGAAUUAGAACAAGUAGCUUAUCAUGGAGAUUCAACUUGGGAAAAUAUCUAUAUGAGUGAAAAACUUGAGAUGCAAAACUCAACAACUGGAAUAUCAUUAGAAGAAGGUACUGAGACAACAUCCACAAAGGCCUUUGCUUUCACAAGUGAUGUUAAUCAGAUUGCAGAUAAUGGGACUUGUUUUAAAUCGGAUGAACAAACUAUAGACUCCUUCUCUUCUUGUCAAUCAAAUAAUUUGUGCAAAAAUACAGUAGAUUUGAGUGCCCAUAAAAUUGCUUCACCUGGUGAGGUUAUUGAUUAUGAUGGAAUUUCUUUCGAUGAUUCGGGAACAGAAAACCUGAAACAACAGGAUGGCAAUGUUACUAUUUUUGAGCAUAAAGAUAUGCACUCCGCUGUAGGAACAGAGUCUUCAGAUGAAAGCUCUUUGCUUCAGAUUGCGCCAUUGGUAGGCAGGCAGUGGGUCAUCAACCAUCGGAAUGAUCAGGAAACACAAAUUCCAACUGAAGCAGUGAAUGUGAACCAUAAAAUUCAAUUUUCAUCUGAGGUUGAUCCAAUUGUUAAUCCAGGGGGCAAUUUGGAAAUUAUUUCCAGAUUAGGUUCUCUGAAAAGAACUGCUUGGCAAAGUGCCUGUAAAAAAAGGAGGCUUGAUCAUCCUUCUUCUUCCAAAAGUUCAUUUAUGUUGCUAAAAGGCCUGGAACCAGAUGGAGAAGCUAUAGCAAGUGCUGUGAACAUGACUGGAUGUUGCACUGCUCCUCAUCCUGGUGAGGGGGGUAUAUCUGAAAAAUCUGUUUCUAGAAAAGCUCUGAUGCUGUCUGGGUCUGACAAAGAUAUGUCUCCUUCUGCAAAGAACUCUAUUGUUUCUUGUGGAACUAAUCAAAUAAAAGGUGAUAUGAGAGGUUAUUGCAGCACUUUUUUAUUGAAACUUACAAAUCAGACUAAAUUCCACAGGAAAAAAAGGCAUGAUCUUCCUAUUACUUCUGACAUGUCCAACUGGACCAGAUUUUAUGUGUCUCCUCUGGCAAGAGACAUCUCAAAAUCAAGCAGCAAUCUAAGAAAGCCUUCAACGACUGAUAGAGGCAGUGGAUAUCACAAAUCAUUACAUAUGAAGUUCCCGAAAGAUUUCAAUCUUCCUACAAGAGAAGAGCUUGAGAACAAGUUUGGAGUAUUUGGACCAUUGGAAUGUUCAAGAACUAGGGUUUUCUUCUACACAGGUGCUGCCCAAGUGGUUUUUGUUGACCAUGCUGAUGCUGCUGCUGCCUAUAGAUAUGUGAAGAAGAAAAGUAUAUUUGGUGAAGCCAAUGUACGUUUUUGGUUUGAUGAGCAUGAAAAUUUCAGAAAGGAGCAAAAGUCUGAUGAUUUACCUGUCCCCUUGGUGGGGCACUCAUCUUUAUAUCUUACAUCAUGCCAUCAAGUGCCUGAUACACUUCACAUAUCAGAUAAGAAAAAGAAUUGUGGUGCUAACAGUGAACAUGUAUCUGAUGAUAUAUCUGUGCACAUGGAGGAACGCUCAUCUCUAAGUUUUAAAACAUACCAUCAAACACCUGAUGCAGUUCACAGAUCAGAUAAGAAGAAGAGUUGCAGUACCAACAAUGGAACCACAUCUGUACCUAACUUCAACAAUUCUUCUUUGAAUCUGAAGUCUUGCCUUAGAAAACCUGAUUCUCCUCAGGGGAAGGACAAAAGGUGUAAAGUGAGAUUCAUUAUUGAAACAUAGAUCACCUAUGUGUUGUUGACUUCUCUCUUGAAGAACAUGACAUUUUGGUAUCUUUUUCUGGUUCAGUAGCAACUAGAGCCAGAUCUGCUCGAACUUUCAGCUAAUGUAUAAACAAGUAGUUUUUUUGUUUCUCAGCUGUAUAUAAACUGAGAGAUGAGCAUUGCUUUUCAUAAACUAGACUGACACCUUUCUAAUUCUGAUGAAGAUAAAUUGGAGAAGAUUAGAAAUUUUCCAUUCUGAUUAAUCUUCUAUAUAGUUCUUGGGUGUCAAUACAUGGGCCUUUUAAAAGAAAAAGAAGGAAAAAAUGUGACAUCAUUUUUUUUUUAAUCGGUGUCAACUUGUAGGAAAUUUAUAUUUAUUUUUGUUUGUUGCAGUAUGAGAUCCUUCCAAGCACAACUCUAUUUCAUGUGUUUUCAUGGCAUUCAAGUUUCAAAAUUUCUGAUUGAGGAUCCUGCAUAAGUAUUGUGUAUUUUCGAUUUUUAGAGAGGAGCAGAGGCUGAUGCCUGGCAACAUAUAGUAUCUUGAAUCUCAUUUAAAUGCUAGCUCACUGAUGUGCAAACUCACCUGCAAGUUAUUUCUAUCAAGAGACUAUCUAUUUACACUGGUGACUCCAUGUUUUACUAUUCUUCAAUUGAUCUGUUUGUAAUUAAACAUAAUUGCUAUGUUCGCAUAUCCAAUUUAGCAAUUUGAAACAUGAUAUCAGCAAUGCGAUUUAUCUUCAUUAUUUGCUUCCAGUUCACUGCACAGCAUAUUACACUUUUAAGUUUAGCCAUCUUUUUCUUCAUCUCCUUCAUGUGUGUGUAUAUAUAUAUAUCUCAUAGGAGUUAGGGUAGAUGUGUGGUUUGCUACCAACUCUUUCAGAUAUAGUUGCAAGUUCCAGCCUUCUAGAGCAAUGGAUGCUAUUAAAUAAUUCUUUGCUGCAAGUGACUUGUUCAAAUGAUUAUAAGUGCAGAUAAUCUUUUCUAAUGAUCUUAUUUACUUUGUUUAGCUUGUAAUUACUAGGUUGUAGUUUAAUGUUGAUUGGCUGCUUGAUGAUUUUUGUCAGUAUUAUAGUAUCCAUUAAGAAUAUAGUCUUAUAUAGUACUUAUCACUGCAUAUAUGGUGUUUUUUUCUCCAUCAUAAUUAUGCCAAUGAACAUGAAUGCAUCCUGUUAUCAAUACCAUUUUGUUUCUUGGAGCAGUAAAUGUAUUAUCAUCUGCCAUCCAUAAACUUUCUUAUUGUUUGUGUGUAAUUUGACUUGUAGUGUUUGCUACAUCCUUGGAUGACUGCUUCAAAGUCCACUUCGUGGACCUUUUUCUGGGUUCCAUUCGAGGACAAUAUUUCUAAUUUGUAUUUUAUUUGCCUUGAACUAGCUUAUGAGCAUACUCUUCUUUUCAUUUAUACAUUUCAAUUAAGAGCAAUUAAGCCAUCUCAAUUUCCAACACUUUUUGAAUGCACCGAGGAUGAACGAAGGAUGAAUGCAUGCGCAUGUAGUUGGUCUCCCAAAAGGAACCUUGGAACUCCUUGAUUUCACCCGAUACUUGGUUCGGGUCGAAUCGGCUCAUGCUGAUCCGAACCAAACAUGAACAAAAAUAGACCGGGUCCAAUCGGGUCACGCUGAUCCAAACCACACCGACGGCGCCUGUAAGCAAAUGGAAGCGGAUCCGGGUUAUGCUCCUAAGUGCAUUCUGUACCCGAUAAUAAUUUAAUUUUAAAAAAAAUUAAAAAUAGCCAUUUAUCUUAAAUUUAAAAUGAAAAAAGACAAACAAAGGGGGGAGGGUAAUAGAGGGGCUUAUCCUUGAGGCCAAUCCAGUGUCUCCGGAUGUUGAUAUGGCUCUCCUCUCCUCCGCUCCUUUCUCCUCCUCUUGUCGAACUCUUUCUCUUCCCAUUGCACCUAAUCACUGUAAGUAAUCUUUGUGUGUGUUCCCUGUAAUCCAUUUGCUUGCAAGAUUUCUGUGGCGAAAUCUCCUUUUUUUUGGGGGGCGGGGGGGGGAAGAUAUUUCUUUUUCUUUACUCUCUUCAGUAUCCUGCUUGAAUCUAUCAAUCUGAUGGGCUCGUUUCUAGUUUGGGUGUUUCUAAACGCAUUUGGCAGAUUUUCUGUGACAUAGUAUCUUCUCAAUGUAAUCUUUAUAUGAGUUUUGAUUAGGUCUUUCUUCUUGGUGAUUCUGACGUUUGACCAGGCUUAGAUUUUUCGAAAUAUCAUCUUUUCCUGUGAGAAAAUUUAGGUACUGGAAUGGAUUUGUUCUUGCAAAUGAACAUCGAGGGUGAGAAAAUUUAGGUACUAGAAUGGAUUUGUUCUUGUAACUGAACAUCGAAUCUGUUUGGCUUGACUUGUUGUCAUUUAGAUGAUAAGUUGGGCUUCUUUCCUUCACUAUUCGGAAGCUGAAAUGUGAUCUAAUUUCGUUAUGCCAUAUUCUUGGAGCUAAUAAAUUUCUGUGUCAAUUAGUUUUCCAUUUAACAUUUUUUUUUGUUGUAAUGUAAUUAUUCAUAAAUUUAGUGCAUUGGUUUCUCCAGUCGAAGAAUUUCGUAUUGGUCUUGUUGUGUUUUUUUUGGGGUUUCUUACUACUCAUUUGAUUAAACUUAUCUUGAUUUGGUUUAGAUGAGUUAUGAUUGCACUUUUCAGCCUUGAGAUUGCAAAGGAACCUCAUCCUUCAACCAAGACCAUUCAAUGGAGCGAGAGUUUCUUUGCCUUCUCUUUUCAUGGAGAGGAGGUUGAUAAUUGUUCGUGCUUCUUCGGAGACUGAUGGGAAGGGGGAAAGUGAACCUGAGGCUUCUCCAUCUGAGGGGUCUGAAGAGGCUGUGUCAGUGGAGAAUCUUCCUCUAGAGUCGAAGCUGCAGCUGAAACUUGAGCAGAAGCUAAGGAUGAAGCUUGCAAAGAAGAUAAGGCUCCGGAGGAAGAGGCUUUUGCGGAAGCGGAGGAUGAGGAAGAAGGGACGCUGGCCACCUUCAAAGAUGAAGAAGCUCAAAAAUGUAUGAUCAAUGAUGGGGUACCUUGCAGGUUCAGAACUGUCCCUUCAUUCUCCAUCCUGUUUUUCCUGCGUUGGGUAUUGGUGAAUGUUUAUCUGGUUUUGUUGCAUUAUGCUUGUUAACUCCAUUGACUUUUCAGUCAAUGUAACAGUUUUUUCAUGAAAUCACUAUGAGAAUUUCUUUUGGUCCCAAGAAAAUUAAUCAAUUGUACAAUCUGUAGAGUUCUAUCUCAAAAUGGUUUCAUCUCUAAAGGUUUUCCAUUUCAGGGUUUCAGAAUGUAUAUUCCAUCGUCUUUAACCUUUCUCAUGUUAGAACCAAGUGGAGUUGACCCAAUUGAGGGAUGCGCAUGGAUUAUGAAAUUGGCAACUAAAGCAUCUUAGAUAUUCAUCAAUUCUGAAAAUGAAGUAAGAAAAGGCUAUCCUAUGCUCUUUAUGGACUAGACUGUUUUAGAGAGAAAAAAAAAAGGGAAAACUGCAUCAAUUGAAAUCAUUCUCAUGCUUGAUUUACCUUUCCUCAAAUUUUCCACAUGUUAUCUAAGAUUUAUCUUUUCUCAUUUUAAUGUUCUGAGGAUGUUAAGUAGUUUGCUUGUUUGCCUGCGAUGUUAACUAUAUGAAGUCUCCAACUAUGAAGAUUAUCAACUCUGUAGUUGUAGGUCAGACUAUCAUAUGCUAUUUAUAGACCAGGCAACUGUUUGAGAAAAAAAAAGUGGAAUACUGCAUCAAUUGAGACUACUCUCAUUGUUGAUUUACCUUUCCUCACUUUUUUCUCAUGCUAGGUAAAAUAAUAUAUGAUAUCCUUUCUCACUUUCACCUUAGAGGAUGCAAGUCAUUUUCUUGUUUGUCGGUAAAGUCUACUUAGAUAAGUAUCCAACAUAUGAUCAGUUCCGUGAUUAAGGAAAAGUUUUAAGAAAAAUGUGAUCCUUGAUAUUGUAUAUCAGUUUAAAGCCUCUUUUUGUUUCUUCUUGAUGUCUCGAGAAGUUGAGCUUCAAAAGUGUGCUCAGGUAUUUCCAUGUAAAACUUAAUUGUUAAAUGUUGAAUUUAGUCAUAUUCAACUUAUAGGAAUAGUGAGCAUAUAGACCACAGAAAUGAAUUCUGCAAUGGUCAAGAGAAAACAAUUUACAUCUGCUACAUCUAAAUCAAGUAAUUGCAAGUUUACAUCCCGCUCAUAACAUACCAUGAAAUUAUCAUGCUUUCCAUCAAAAUGCAAAUGUAUGUCAAUUACAGACUCGAAUCUACCUAUUAUUGUCCACACAAAGCUUCUAUAUUUGUUUAUCAUAAUUCAAGGCUUCAAGAAACAUCAGUGUGGCUGUUCUGCUGCUCAAGGAACUAUUGGAAUAAAUGAUUAUAUGUCUCUUUCUGUUCAGAUGUCUCAUUCUAAUAUUUCUACUCUGUUCCAUCUAGUCUAUCUCUUCUACGGUUUGAUCAGUGUAUUUUCCGUAGGUUAAUUGGUGCAUAAACUGCAAUGAAACUGAAAAAAAUCUAGAGAUAAAUAGGUCUUCAUACAGAACAUAUUGUAUGGAGUUAGUUCCACCAAUAUGCCCUCAUUUAUAUGCUGUGCUAUUUUCCCAUGUAUUUUCAUUUGACAGCUCUUUGAGAUGAAAAUGUGACCUUCUGCUAAAAAAUGGUGAAGUCCUUGCCAGUGAAUCAUGCAUUAACUUGUUACAUUGAAAUUUUUGAACAAUGCCUCAUCUUCAUGGUGCCACGUUUUCAUAGCACAGGGGAUAAGAAGUCUAGAUAUCUCAUUCAAGUUAUCUCAUUUAAAUUAGUGGCAACAAUAUAGUGAUAGCUAAAUAAUUGAUAUGUUGAGGUUAGAUGUUGGGAUUCUUAAUUUGACUAGCUAUUCCAAUUAUCUGACCAGACCCUAACAUUCUACAUUAUUUCCCAACACUAUAAAGUAGAGAUGGUAGGGAAAAAAAAUACUGCAGUCUGUAUCAGUCAUCCAUAGUAGCUUUUCUUUUCCUCUAGCUGUUCCAAGGAAUAAAAUUGGGCCAUUAACUUUACCCAAUGUUUAGUCUUCCAUCCACUGCAUAGGCCAUAUUUUCUAUUUUGGGAUUCUAUGAGCUAGAGUCCUAAACAAACAAAAUGUGGAAUUGUCCACCAAAUUAGCUCAGGAACCUAUUUUCUACCACAGCAAAAAAAUAUUGAGAAAGUGUGAAAAUAGGACAGUCAAAUUAAGUACUUCCAACUAUUUCAAUUUUACUGCUUGGAGAAAGUAGCAGAACGGCAAUACAAGAUAACCUAGCAUGUAAUUUUGAAUGGUAUCACCCGUCCGAUACAGACGAUACGUAUCAAUCCGAUAAUAUAUCGGUACGUGGACCGUCUGCUAUCGGACGGAACGUGCUACAGUGCUAUACUAUAGCAGUGAUACAGUGCUAUAGUAAGUAGAAGAAAUAUUUAAAAAUGUUCGGUACGCUCAGGUGUACUGUUCGGUACACGGUAUCGUAUCAUAUCGAGGCAAUCUCAAAAUAUCGGUAUAGUACGGUAUUGCAUAUCUUGGUUCAAAGAAGGCUAGACUCAUUGGAGAAACUCUUUAAGGUCAAAAUUCAAAUGGAAAAUUGAAGAUUCAAGAAAGGAUUAAGAGGCUGAACUGUGUUCUUUAAAUGGUCUGGAAUCUUUAGCUCUUAUUCAUUUCCAAUAUAUUAAUUAAAUGGGACAUCAGUAAUCAGCCUUUGUAAAAUCAUUUUUCUUGCUUCUGCUGUUGGUGGAAAUGUAAAAAUAAUGGUGGUCAAAGAUACCCAAAUUUAUUAAGAAUUUAAAAUAGUGAAAGGAAAAAAAGAAAGCAGAAUUUCUCCUUCACUUAAAAACAUAUAUAUCAUUUCAUAUAGCCAUUAUCCAGUGUGAUGGUGGGAGAUAAGGUGGUCCAUGCCUAAUAUACUGAGUUUGUAGUUGUUUUGCCUUGAUCAACCUUCUCUCAUCCUUCAUGGUGAUGGCACACCUUUGGAAAGUCAUUGUUCACGAAAUCCAGCAACCCCAACUCAACAAAAUUCUCCAUCUCCUCCAAAUUUUCAAUCACGGUUGGUGUCCCAAUGAGCAUGCUUGAGAGGUCACAUUGUCACAAAAGUUUGAGGCUUUGGACCAAACUGUGCCAUCACUACAUAAAGAAUCCCUGAAAAAUCCACUUCAAUCUUUAUUGGCCUCCAGUAUGAUAAUAGUCAGCAGAUCAUACACAACUUAAGCUGCUUGAGGUCAGACCUCCACCUGUCUCUGGCAUAAGUAUCAGGAAGAGACAAAACCCACCUUGAAAGGGAAACAAAGUGGAGCACUACAGUCAUGAUGAAGAAUUCCUUGAAAGAAUAUUUCUAACAUACUUUAUGCCUUUCUUUAAUUUGCAGUAGGUUUGUCUUAGCUAUUAUAUUUGACACACUAAAAGGAUGUGUGGUUAUGAUUACAGGUUGGUCCACACAGACCUCGAGGAUAGACAAAAACACUGGAGUUCUCAUGAUAAGACUUUCUAAGUGUUCCAUGGCUUUAGCUUGUCUUGAUCAUGACAAGGAAGCUGGUGAUUCAUUCCUACAUGAAGUUGCUUCUCGGAAGAGGUUUUUGUGUAGGAAUGAUGGUGUACAAAAAAAAUCAAACAUUGCGGUGCUUGUUACAAUGGAUCAGAUAUUGCCUUCUAAAGUCCAUUCCUUGGAUGGCCAAAGAAGAGAAACAUGGCAUCUCCUUGCACUUUGGCAGGUCCAUAGAUGGAUUCCUUUGCUUUUGCCUUUUAUUUAUUUCCCUCCCAACCUUUACUCUUCUCUGCCUUUACAGUUCGUCUCUCCUUCCUUUCCUUCCUUCCUUCCUUCCUCUGCUUCUAUGCAGUCCUCUUACCUACCCUCUACGCUGCAGGAAGAGAACCUAGAGGGGAGAUCGCGAUGAAGGAGUUCAGCUACGAGGACAUCGAAGCUGCGACCAACAGCUUCUCUUCCGAGCAGUUGAUCGGCAAGGGAAGCCAUGGAAGCGUCUACAGAGGCGUGCUGAAAGGUGGCGAGGUCGUGGCCGUGAAGAAGCCAUCGGGAGGAACCCAAUCCCUUGAGAACGACGCUAAACUGAGUAACGAGAUCGACAUACUUGCUUCUGUGAAGAAUCCAAGCAUCGUCAAUCUGAUAGGCGUCAGUCGCAGUCCAACGAGCAAGCUGCUGGUCAUGGAGUUCAUGCACCACGGUUCUCUCCAUGACCUCCUCCACUCGUCCCCCGCCGCACCUGCGUGGCCUCGACGUGCCGUCAUGGCUCUCCAGGUCGCUCGCGCCGUCCUCUCGCUCCACGAGGCCGCCCCGGCGGUCAUCCACCGCGACAUCAAGUCCGCCAACAUUUUGCUCGACGGCAAAUGGAACGCCAAGCUCGCCGACUUCAGCCUCGCCGUAAGAGACGAUAGAUUGCAGUCGCUGAGGUCGACUGUACCAGCAGGUACCAUCGGCUACUUGGAUCCGUGUUACACCGAAUCGGGAGAGUUAGGCCCCAAGAACGAUGUGUUCAGCUUCGGGGUGGUGUUGUUGGAGCUCGUCAGCUCGAGGAAGGUGAUGGACAUGGAGCGCGAUCCUUCGCUGAUCGUGUCGUGGGCUCUGCCCAUGAUCAGAGCUAACCGGCUCGACGAAGUCUGCGACGGGAGAGUGACGUUGCCGGACUACAUGAGGAGGCCGAUCGGUCGGAUGCUAGGCGUUGCUGCGCGCUGUGUGUCGGAGGAAGUAGAGAGGCGACCAUUGAUGGGGGAGGUUGUGGGGGAGCUGCAAGGGGUGGUGGAAGGUGCAGUACUGUCAUGGCCAGUGUGGGGUUCUGUAAGGAGUAAGGUGUGUGGGAGAAUCCAUAGAUGUGUGAGGGCUUGGAGGAGGUGUGUUGAGAAGAGAGUGACCACAACAAGGAUUGUGUGCAAGGAUCACCUGGUUGAUGGUGGGAACGAUGACUGUGAUGAUGAGCGUAUGGGUUCUAGGCAGGAGAUGAGUUGAAGGUAUCCCAAGCUAUAAGUCUUCUUGGUUGGGAUCCCAUGGGAGACAUUUCAGCGAGAGUUGAAGUUUUGCCUCGACGCACAGUUCAUGCUCUCUCCUUUAAGCAGCUUUUUAACUGUUCUUUGUGUAAUUGAAGAGACUUGAGUAGUCCCAAACAUAGUUUGUUUGCCAUCCAAUAACACACACUUAUUACAUGUAUACCCCGGGUUACUUCCACAUCAAGUGUGCAAGAACAUGGAUGGACUUAUAAGGGCUCGAUGGAACUACUAUUAUUAAUUUUAAUUUUUUAAUUUUAAAUUUUUUUAAUUUUUUAAUUUUAAUUUUUUAAUUUUAAUUUUUUUUACACUCAUUUACCAAACUAUUAAGGGUUUGAAACUUCAUAGGAUAUAUUAUAUACCUUUCUUAGUCUUGAGAAUCGAUCUAGUAUUGAGCAUGAAGAGUGGUUUGAGUAAAAAAAAUUACAUAGGAAUAUGAUCGAGGGUAAUCAAGACAUGUAAUCACCAUUGGAAUAGGCCUAUAAGGGUAUAAGAUAUGAAGAUUAUAAUAUUAUAAUUAUUUAUUUAUGUAUCAAAAGUUAGUAAGAAUUUAAAUUAACUUAUAAGGACUUCAUCGGACUAUUAUUAUUAAUUUAGAUAUAAGCAUAUCCAAAGUUAAAAUAUCAAUUGUCGAUAACGAUAAAUGAUAUUAUAGAUGACCUGAGGCUAUAAUAGGAAGGAAUUACAUGUGGGUGAUGGUGAUAAGUUAAUUUAUUAUUUUUUAAUGAUUAAAAUUAUAUAUAUAUAUAUAUAAUAUAAUCUUUUUAGGUAUUUCUCAAAUAGUACUUUUUUUUUCCUAAUUAGUCGUCCCUUAAAAACAAUGUUGAGCUCUUUUCCUAUCAAUAUGUUAGAUUGGUCAAAGGCACCUUAUGGACGAUCCGACCCCACCUAUUGAUGUUAAACCGGUCAACACUUCACCUUUCCUUAUUUGCAAUUGAAUCCAACUGCCUCUUACUCUCACUCCUCUACUCUCUUACCUCGCUAGCUUCUUCUCAUACCUUCGGUUUUACUACAAAGACUUGCAUAUCUUAUCUGUCGAUAAAGCCCCCUUGUGUACCUCUUAACCCUUCACUUCAGCUUCGACAUAAACCCCAAAAGUGUCUCUUGCCUCUCUAACUUCCUCUCGGACCUCUAUUAUCGUUGCAACAUCUAACACACUUCAUGCACCUUAGCCAUCAACUAAACCCCCUUAUGCGCCUCUUAGUCCAUUUGCCUUUUUGCUUAGGGUUUUUCUCUCGAGUGAUAGUGUAAACCCUAAAGUAUCAUGUGCUUUAUCUUGUUAUUUCUCUCUCAAACCUCUAGACUCUUGUAAUUCUAAUGACCUCAUUCGUAUCUUAUAGUGUCAAUGACCCUAAUCUUUCAUAGUCUUUAUAAUUUUGUUGUCAGUUAUGAAACACUAUAUAUUAGUAUGAAAAUACCCUAAAACCUGUCUGUUUUAUGUAGAAUACUUGACUAGACAUGAAUAUUUCUAGUGUGAGUUUCGGCAAUGGUGGUCUUUAAAAUAGUAUAUCAAUUUAUAAUAUUAUCGUUAAUGAUCUUCAAAUUAAUUUAUCGACUAUUUUUGUUUUUUUUCUCAUUGGUUUCAUGGUAAUGCAGUCAGUCUUGACUAUUUAAACACUAUAAUCAUAUAUUAAUUUAUUUAUUUUUAAAUUAGUUCAAAUUAAUUUAUUUUUAGUUUGAUCCAUAACCAUGAUUGCAAAAUUUUGGUUAGCACUAGUGUCAUGGUAUAUAAUUAAUAGAUACAUUUGCUUAAGAUGAUAUAAUAAUUGGCAUAAUUAUUAUUGGUAAUAGUAUAGUUAGUUUACAUUGCAUUUGGCUGGUGUUAGUAGUAAUUUACCUGGUUAAUAAUAUUUAAAUUAGUAUUUAUAGUGUUUUAUUAUCAUGAUCACAACAAUGUAUAGGUCAGAAAAAACACUAUACAUGGCAUGAGUGUUUUUGUGUUAUGAUAUAGUUACAAGCAUAGCAUUAAUAUACCAUAUUGGUAAGCUUAUAUUUGUUUUUUAUUGAUGGUAUUAGUCAUUUGGGUGAUUAAUAGAAUUUUUAUUGUCAUUAUCAAAAUAUUAAUAGUUAUAAAACCCAUCUUAAAGAUACUGAUGAUAUCAUAUUAUGAUAUUGAUUAAUCAGUUUUGGUUAAUAUUAAUAGUCAAAUAGUGAAUGGAUAUUGACGACCUUAAAGAAUGCUUGGUUGUACUAAUAGAAAACAUAUGUAAAUCUUAUUAUAUUUUACCUUUUUACUCUAAGAAUUUGCUAUUAACUUGCUGGUGUUUUAUAUUUCAUAUGGAUGGUUCUCUGAGCAUUUCCUUUAAUUGAUCCAAUUUAUUUGGAUGCUUCUCUACACUUGUUUUGAUGGGUCAUUCGUUCUUAGCAUAUAGGAACUAUAAAUAAGAUGUUAAAGGUGUCCUCGGUAGGUAGAUGCAAGGAUUAUUGAUCUAUUUUUUAUAUUUUUUAUCUAGAUUUAUUUAUUUGUAACAAUAUUUAUAAUCUUGUGUUUAACACUAUCAUAGAUUAUUAUAUAAUUAUGUCCACUAGAUAUGGAGGUGACUCUUUUGGUAAAUAUCAAUGCCGCUACUACUAAGGUGAUAUUUUAUUUUAGUGUAUGUAAUCAUAUCUUAUUGUUUAUUGUAGCUAAUAUUAUCUUGAUACUAUAUGUGUUUUAUAAGAGGAUAAGUGUUUAUUAUAGCUAAUAUCAUUUUGAUAUUAUAUGUGUUUUAUAGAAGGAUGAAUCUAUGAGGACCCUAGAGAAGAAGACUAUGACUAUUAAGCUUAGAACUAUAACGGUUGAGGAGGCUAGGAAUAUUGACUAGGUGGGUGAUACCAUUAAGGAAGUGUCAAUGAUUGUUGAUGCAAAUGAGGCUAUGACUAUUGAGGAAGCAAAUAUUAUUGAGGUGGAGGUUAGGAUUAUUGAAGAAGAAUCUAGGACUAUUCAAGAGGAGACUUUGAGAUUGACAAAGUUAUGACCGUAAACGAGGAUACGUUUGUGAGAACGACAAGAAAAAGGCCAGAAAGAUUAUAAGGACUAUUUAUAAAGUAAACAAACUUGAUGAAAAGGAUUAUAAAAUAACUUAAUUUGUAUUAUUAUUAGAUAAGUGGGGGUUUGCGAAGCAUGUAAUAGAGAUAAUCGACAAACAAUAUUUUUCAUCUUCAAUAAGGUUCAAAUAAUAAAGGAUAAUGAAUCCAACUGUAAGAGGGAAGAAUCUUAUGACUUCACUAAUAAAAAAAUCAUAUCAAAAUCCCUAUAUUCUUAGAAAAAGAAAGCAAAUUACACUUAGGAAGAAAAACAAUAAGAAAAUUAAAAAUAAUGAUGAUGAAUAAUCAAAAGUAGAGGGAGAUAAUCAAAUAAUAAUAAAUAAUACGACUAGAUAAAUUGAGAAUAUGAAUAAAGAAGAGAGGUUGUGGCUCCAUCAACACGUGUAGAGAUUACUAAAAUUGAGGAAGCAUAAUAUUCAUUAUAAAGUAUUUAUCAUGAGUUUCAUCUUUAGAAUUUUUAGAGUUAUAAUUAAUUACAUAUUCUACGUCAUAGUAUUAUCACGAGACAUUUUAACUUUAAAAUUAAUUUCAGUUUGAAUUUAAUUUAUCGUCGGAUGUUUUAUUGUUAGUCUCAUUGUGAGUAGUUAUCUGUAACGUGAAACAUGUAAUCUUAUUUGUAAAUAAAUAGUGUCUCUAGUUAUUAAAUUUGGGACGACAAAAACAUUCAUCUUCUGUAGAUUUUUUUGGAUAUUAUUAGAUUGAGACGUCUUUAUGGAUGAAGAUGUGAUCGACACUAAUUCUAGCAUCAUCAGUUGUUCCAAGCAUUAUUAUGUACAUAAUUUUAUGAGUAAUUUACUUUUUCUACCUCUCACUAAAUAAUAUGUUUCCAAUGUUGUUUAACUAAUUUGAUUAUUAUAUUUUAAUACAAAAAUAUUAUCAGUAAGUAAGAACUUUAAUCUUCAACCCAAGCUAUCAAAUAAAUUUUGAUAGACCGAUCGAUUUGAUAUUUUUGCCCCUUAGCACAAAAUUUCAUUGGCACCUUAUGGUGUUAGACUUUAAGAGAAAAGUUUUUAUACAUUAUAAUUUAUUUUGGAUUGUCAAGAGAUAUCGAAUAAUAUUUAACAAAGACGAUAUAUCCUGUUGCUUAUUUAUUUUAGUAUUUUAUUUAUAACUUUAUUGUUGUUAUGCCAACAAAAAAACUUAUCAUAGAGAUGACUGUGGAUCAACAAGGAUGCCUCAAUAAAUAUAUCACCACACAUCACCCAUUUGUUGGAUGAAAAAUCAAAGAAAUGAAAUGCAAACUAAUUUGUAUAUUUUCUAUCGAUAGCAUAAUCUCUUGUUAUGUUUGGUAAUAAUAAUUGUGGUGUUUUUGUUAUGAAAUUUAUGAAGGCUUGAUUUAUAAUCGAUCUUUCGAUAUGCAAUAAGGGGACAUGCAUGGAUAUUAUGUAAUUUAUUAUUGAAGAUAACACUGGUAAUGUCCAUUACUAUGAUUCAUGAUCCAAUCUUGAUUUGGAGGCACACGUAAUGUCAAUUUGAUAAAAACAAGCACUAAUAUAAAUUUUGGGAUGAAGUGUUAAUUAUGUGAUGGUAUAUCACUGUCACUAUAAGUGAUUUAUAGUGUUUUCGUUGGUGUUACAGUGAUUUGGUGGUAUACGUGAUAUAAUGUUUCGAUAACUUGUGCAGUUCUAUUAAGUUAUGUUGCUACAGUAGUUUUUGUUAUAGUGUUUGGUUGUUGCGAUAUCCAUUUAUACUAUUCUAUGUGUUUUAUAAUUUAGGGGUUUUGAUUAAGUGAUUUACAAUGUCGUGUGUGUUUUGGACAAUGUAGAAUAUUGUUUUUUUAGUGAUUUAUAAUAUUAUUGUGUGUUUAUUGUGUUACAAUGUUGUUGUCUAGUGAUUUACAGUAAACAUCAUGAAAUAGUGAACCUUUACAGUUAUCAUUUAUAGUGUUUUCAAUAUAGUUACUAAAACACUCUAAUUCUGGAGGAACUGUUUUUCUUUUGUUUUUUCAAAACAUUCACAAUAAAUCUUGAGGAUAUCGAUCUAAUUUUUGUUUUUACAAUAUGUUUUCAAUAAUGUCAAAGAAAUAUUAUAAUGCUAAUCUAAAGUUGUGGUUUAGAUUUAAAUUUGUUUUGCUGGACUAAAGGAUUUCAAUCCAGUCUUUAACAAUAUAUUAUUUUUCAAGGAUAAUUAAAAAAACACUAUAAACAUCAUAUUUUUAUUUUCGACGCAACAUAGUCAACCACAGUAAAAACAUGAUCUUCACAUGUACAAACACAGUAAACCACAGUAGGAUACUAUUCUAGUCCAGAAAAUAGUAAACCUCAAUAUUUACACUCCUACAAAGUCAUAGUAAAACAAACCCAUACAAGCUAAAAAUAAUAUAUUUCAAAUAUAUAUAUAUAUAUAUAUAUAUAUAUAUAUAUCACCUAAAGUGAAUAAUGACUAAUUUCUACAAAUUUACAUACCACCAAGCACCAUAAUUCCUUUAAAUUGGAGACAGUACACAAGAAUAUAGCUUUUUUUAUUUCUUAAUUUGAUCAUCAAAAUUAAGUUUUGAUGACAAGUAUAGAAUCAUUCUGUAAGUUUUCUUCUCAUUAUUUUAUUAAAAAAUAUAUUGAUAAGUCAUGAACAAUCUCCAUCAGUAUAAGUUCAUAACCCUAGCCCAUUUUUAUUUUAGGUUGGACAGAGUAAAUCUACUAAUUCUUUUAUUCUAAUUAGUAAAAGAGAUCUUGAAAAAAUGAACUUAGAAGCUAAAAGAGGGUAUCAUGAGCAAUUGCAAGAAUUAGGUUCAUUAAUAUUUCUGGUAUAAUAGAUGCUUUUAUACAUACAAUCAUACUCAAUUCGAUGGAAUUAUUUGAUGUUAAAGGAGAUCUUCUAUAAUUUCAGAUGCAAGGGAUUAUUUCUUAAUUUCAUCCGAUCAUUAAUAACUUGAAUAUUUUUAGAUAAUAAUAGAUAGAAAUAAAAAUAACAAAUUCAUAUUUUUUGAUCUAUUUGUGUCAACAUUUAAUAUCAAUAUUAAAGGAAAUAAGUAUUAACACACCUCUCUUUCUCAAUUUGGCCAAUCCAAUGAUAAAUAUCAUUCUUUGUAUACAUUCAUUGAAUUUGUACAUGUUUAUUGUUCUGCCUAUAGUCCAAAAUAAUUUCUAUCACUAACAAGAUUAUUCGACAUAUGUACAAUAUAAUAUCUAUGAUAAUUUCAUAGAAGAUCUCCUUUAACAAUUGUAAGAAUAUCUAAGUUCUAAUUACUAAUGAUAGAUAAUGAUUUAAUUAUCCUGAUAAAACUUUAUAAUUAUAAUAAAUAUUUUAUUUGCAUGAUCCAUGCCCAUAGCCAUCAAUAAAGUGCUUUGCAUAUAUAUAUAUAUAUAUAUAUAUAUAUAUAUAUAUAUAUAUAUAUAUAUAUAUAUAUAUAUAUAUAUAUAUNNNNNNNNNNNNNNNNNNNNNNNNNNNNNNNNNNNNNNNNNNNNNNNNNNNNNNNNNNNNNNNNNNNNNNNNNNNNNNNNNNNNNNNNNNNNNNNNNNNNNNNNNNNNNNNNNNNNNNNNNNNNNNNNNNNNNNNNNNNNNNNNNNNNNNNNNNNNNNNNNNNNNNNNNNNNNNNNNNNNNNNNNNNNNNNNNNNNNNNNNNNNNNNNNNNNNNNNNNNNNNNNNNNNNNNNNNNNNNNNNNNNNNNNNNNNNNNNNNNNNNNNNNNNNNNNNNNNNNNNNNNNNNNNNNNNNNNNNNNNNNNNNNNNNNNNNNNNNNNNNNNNNNNNNNNNNNNNNNNNNNNNNNNNNNNNNNNNNNNNNNNNNNNNNNNNNNNNNNNNNNNNNNNNNNNNNNNNNNNNNNNNNNNNNNNNNNNNNNNNNNNNNNNNNNNNNNNNNNNNNNNNNNNNNNNNNNNNNNNNNNNNNNNNNNNNNNNNNNNNNNNNNNNNNNNNNNNNNNNNNNNNNNNNNNNNNNNNNNNNNNNNNNNNNNNNNNNNNNNNNNNNNNNNNNNNNNNNNNNNNNNNNNNNNNNNNNNNNNNNNNNNNNNNNNNNNNNNNNNNNNNNNNNNNNNNNNNNNNNNNNNNNNNNNNNNNNNNNNNNNNNNNNNNNNNNNNNNNNNNNNNNNNNNNNNNNNNNNNNNNNNNNNNNNNNNNNNNNNNNNNNNNNNNNNNNNNNNNNNNNNNNNNNNNNNNNNNNNNNNNNNNNNNNNNNNNNNNNNNNNNNNNNNNNNNNNNNNNNNNNNNNNNNNNNNNNNNNNNNNNNNNNNNNNNNNNNNNNNNNNNNNNNNNNNNNNNNNNNNNNNNNNNNNNNNNNNNNNNNNNNNNNNNNNNNNNNNNNNNNNNNNNNNNNNNNNNNNNNNNNNNNNNNNNNNNNNNNNNNNNNNNNNNNNNNNNUCUAACAAUUGAAUCAUUGUAUCAUAGUCGUGAAGCAUAAAUUCCCUUAGAAAUGAAAUCAACUCAAUAAAAACUCUACCAACUUUUUAGUGUUAUCUCAUGUGCUAAAUAUGUCAUUUUAUAAGAUACAGUGACACCAAAUCUUUUAUUAUGUAUAUCUAAAAUAAUCAUAUUUGGUAUAUAUGAUUCACUAAUACUUGAUCUUUAAUUUGAUUGAUAAUGAAUAUUCAUUCUAGGCAAAUUGCUUUGAUGUUCAUUACAAAACUUUAUAAACCACGAGUAUGCAUACAUCAUCCAUCCACGAUCUUUAUCUGCACAUCGAACCUUAAUCUUUUUACUUGAUAUGCUUCACAUCAAAGUUCCUUCCUAUUACAUACUCUUUCAUAAUUUUUUUGAAUUCCUGUCUAUCAUAAAAUACAUGUAAAGAAGCCACAAACAUUUUUUUUAAUCAUUCAGUAUUUAGAAAAUAACAACAACAAAGUUUAUAGAAAUUUUAUAGAUAUAUUAUUUUUUUGUUUGGGUUAUCAAAUCCUCAUUUUUGACAUACGGAAUCAAGAAGUUUAAUGUAAAAUUAUUAUUUUUAUUUCUCGAAUGACUAACGCUAGUGAUCUCUAUUUUGCUUAACUCUCCGAUAUGAUUCAUAUACCUGCCCUCUCAUUUAUACAUGUAACCUCAUAAAUAACAUCAUAAGUGGUAUAUUAUUGGUUAUCAAAUCCUUAUUUUUGACAUACGGAAUCAAAAUAUUCAAUGUAAAAGCAUCAUUUUUAUUUCUCGAAUGACGAACGCAUUUUUAUUUCUCGAAUGACUAACGCUAGUUAUCUUUAUUUUUCUUAACUCUCCAAUAUGAUUCAUAUACGUGCCCUUGUUUACGCAUACAACCUCACAAAUAACAUCAUAAGCGAUAUAUCAUUGGUUAUCAAAUCUUCAUUUUUGACAUACUGAAUCAAAAUAUUCAGUGUAAAAUCAUCAUUUUUAUUUCUCGAAUGAUUAACGCUAGUUAACUCUAAUUUGCUUAACUCUCCAAAUACGUGCCCUUGUUUAUACAUACAACAUCACAGAAGGUAUAUAUAUAUAUAUAUUUCAAUCGAUGUAUCAUUCAACUUCAUCAUGGUUUUCUCGACCAAUUAAGUUUUAAUUAUAUUAUCACUCUCUUCAUUUUCACCUAAAAAUAUGUUUAUUUAAGUCAAAUUUAAAUAGCUGAAGUAAAAAUAUUUUUCUCUUUAGGAGACAUAAAAGUGAACAAAAUACUCAUCAAGAAAGAGAUUGUUUGGAUCGAUAGGGUUUAAUUAUUUUAUAAAUAUCUAAUGUACGAGCCCGAUUUCUUCCCACAGCUUUACAUCCUGCCACCACAUAGAAAUGGCAUUGCCAUCAGAAUCUUCAAGCCCAAAUCCAAUGCCUCCUGUUUCAUGUUGGUUAAAUCAUCAUCCAUCUGAGUUCAUUUUGUAAGAUCGAACUUCAACUCUGAUCAGAUCCACAGUAUGCAUCAUCAACAUUUUUGUUCCCAUAUGACAUGACAUCAAGCUCUUACUCUUUUGAAGUAUUCGGCUUCCUCUACUAUUUCUUUCCUUCAAGCUUUGGCAAAAGAAAGGCUUACUGUUUCUCAAGCUUUUGGCAGCAACCGAAGGACCGGAGAAGAGACUUCCUCCUCCACCAUGAUACAAUUCCUUGCUUCUGAUGGACUCCCACUGUCAGUCAGCUGCAACACAUGAUUCAUUCAGUCAUUCAUUCAUGACCAGAUCACCUAAAAAGACUCGUUUCGGAUCUCGAUAGCUUUCACUACCACGAAAAGAACAUAUGCCUGUUGUGCUGCAAUGAGCUUGAGAUUCGUUUUUGAGGCACUUGUUGAACACAGUUUCUAGUUCUCGAUGACUUUUGGCUCUUCAACUAUCCAAGUUGGGGAGCUAAGAAAAGGAGAAAAAGAUACUGAUUGAGCAUUUGUGUGAUGAAAUCAAAGAUCAAUGAUAGGCAUGAAAGAGGCCACUGUGGCACCGAUGAGUAUUGUUGACACCUGAACUUUAUCUGCUUCACUCAUCAGAGGGAAUCGUGAAAGAUCAAAGUGAUUGCUUCGUUGAUGACAGAAAAGAGGAAGCAUUAAGAAACAGGAAACAAAAAGGUUACAUCAGUCUCAGAUCCAUAUGGCCAAAAGGAACUACUUGUGAGCCAAAUCUCUGCAGAAUUUGUGCUGCUGCAAGCAAUGAUAUUGAAAUGAAAGGUAGUGUGUGCAUGCAGUGGAUGGAUUGCCAUCUCAAUUCUACUUUCUUGUGUUUCCACACCAAGAUAGAAUCUGAGUGCAGCACUCACUCACUCACUACUCAGCGAUCUGUUCAUGCUCUUCUUUUUCCUUUUUCUUAUAGAAGAAAGGUACAGAGAAUCAUUUAUGGGCCCUCAAAAUAAGGUUAAGAAAAACUUAAUCAUUGCAGGCAGAAAAAAAUCACAAUCAAUUUCUCAAUCAUCUCUUUGAACUCCCCAACUUUGUAUGGGGAGAAAAAUAGGUGAAUGAAGAAUAACAUGCCAAGAAACACUAAAUAUUUUAGUGGCUUAUUAGUGAUCAGAUUCAAGUGUACAUACUCUAUAUGUUGUUGAUAGACAGUUUGGUUGCCAAAUCAAAGGGUUUGAACUGCGAAAAGGCAUUCAACUCAAACAGAAAGACAGCUAAUUGAAAUUAUGACUUCUUUGUUUUCAGUUUAAUCCUCUUCUUUAGAUAGAUCAUCACAACAAAAACAUUUGAGAAAGGCAAAGCUUGGAGAAAAAUAAUCAAAAGAAAAGACAUUCGUAUCUAUGUUUACUAAAUGCAAAAGAGCACCAAAGACUAAAAGAUUUGAGUGCUGCACAUGAUGCAAAUUCCCUGGAGGCAAAAAAGCUUCAACAAACUGGCCUACAAAUUGGACCUACUACUUGUGUUGCUACAUAGUUUUCGUAGCAAACUUUGCCGGAGAUGUUAUCAUCUGCCAUGGCCAAACCCUUGCAGUUCGUCUUCCUCAUUUUUGCUUCUCUUUCUGCCUGUGCUAUUUCGAAACAGACCACGGAGGUAUUGAUGAAGUACAUCAGUUCUCAUCUGACUUUUUGCCCAAUAAAACUUUGAUCCUUUUUCUAUGUCGGUAUCGAGAGAAACAGGAAUGGUUUGAACGAUUUGUUCUAUUUUCCCAUUUGUAUGUAGUCAGCAAGCACCAUAGUUAUAGUCGUCCAUUAGAUUUUGCUGAGCUGAAUGCCAUCUUUCGUUAGACCAUAAAUUAGCAUGCAAGCUUUAAAUCAUACAAGUAGAAGAUUGCUUCAUGUUGUGAAUCUUUUACAAGAAAAAUCUUCACUUUCAAGUCACCUUAUUUUUAUGGUUUCUGCAGCUAAUUUUGUUUUCUAUUGCAGCCUUAUGUCGUCUACAUGGGGAGCAAACCACAAGAUGGAGACCAUGAAACUCAACAAGCAGCUCACUUGCAAAUGUUGUCCUCAGUUAUUCCGAGGCAAGAGUUUUUGUUAAACAUUGACAAUAAAAUAGUAAUCUUAACAUGGAAACCAUCAGCCUGCAACCUUCUGUUUAACUUUUAUGUUGGUCGUAACAGUGAGGAGAAAGAAAGAGUGUCCCUGAUGCAAAGUUACCAUCAUGCAUUCAAGGGGUUCUCAGCUAUGCUUACCGAAAAGGAAGCCGCUUUAUUAUCUGGUUGGUGUUUUCAUCUUCCAGCUCAAUUGAAUCGACUUUUAAUCAUUUCCUCAUUCACAAACUUCAAUUCAUUGGAUCAGAUGCAAGUUAACAAUCUCAGUCUUGAUUGCUAUCUCUCUAUUCUGAUCGAGUGUUUUGGAUGCUUCACAUCAGGCUUUGAUGAAGUGGUGUCGGUUUUCCCUGACCGGAUUCUUCAACUUCAUACUACGCGUUCUUGGGAUUUCUUGGACGCAGAAUCAGGCAUUGGAUCGCAGCGACUCCGGCGAAAAGCUUCCAGUGACGUUAUAAUUGGCAUCAUUGAUACUGGUAAUUUCCUUUAUUUUUAUCUGCGACAACAUUCCACACCUGCAGUUAGUGGAGAAACUCUAUCUUAAAUGUCAAAUUUUAGGAACAGACACUAUAGUAGAAAAAGAAAGAUACAUAAAGCAAAUAUGUUAGGUUUAAUGUUUUACCCGAUUCUUCAUUCUUAAUUACAUGCAAACAUAUGUUCUUAUGAUGUUGCAUAGAAUGAAAAUAUGUGAUGCUAGUUUAUGUCUGCAGGUGUAUGGCCAGAAUCACCUAGUUUCAAUGAUGCUGGGAUGGGGAGGAUCCCAUCAAGAUGGAAAGGGAUUUGCAUGGAAGGAUCUGACUUCAAAAAAUCUAACUGUAAUAGGUAAAUGCAUAAGCUGCUAGUUGGCAAUGGAAAGAAUUAUUUAAAAAUUGUCUUGAUAAAAUUGCGAGGAAAUAUUAAUACAUUCUUACUUUUGAUGCACAUACUCUUCAAAUGAAGUUUAGGAAGUCGAAGAUUAGUAAGAGUCAUACUUCCAGAAUCAGACUUUGUUGGGAAGAUUCUCAUUUCUAGGACAUUUUAAUACAACAAUUUGAUGUUUUCAAUCAAAUUAAAUGAUUCGAGGAAAAAACUUAAUAUAACAUGAUCAUCCUCAUUAUUUUUUUUAUCCAACUGACACACACAAGAAACAAUGAAACUGUUUGAAAGAGUAGAUUGAAGCCUUUUUAUCAUCAUACAUAUUCCUCACCUCUGUUUAAGCUCCUGUGAAUUCGUAGGAAGCUGAUAGGUGCAAGAUACUACACCAGCCAACCAGAAUCGAUCCGACCUCCAUCAAAUGGAUCCCAUGCCAUCAAAGUAGAUGCUUUUGGAUCACCAAGGGAUUCUGUAGGCCAUGGCACACACACAUCAUCUACAGCUGCUGGCUCCAUGGUGCCAAAUGCUAGCUACUAUGGCCUUGCACAGGGGGUGGCCAAGGGAGGUUCUCCUUCAAGUAGGCUCGCUGUGUACAAGGCAUGCUCACUUGGUGGAUGUGCCGGCUCAACUGUAAUGAAAGCAAUCGAUGAUGCUAUUGAUGAUGGCGUCGACAUGAUCUCAAUAUCAAUAGGAAUGAGCUCUGUGUUCCAGUCAGAUUUUCUUAGCGACCCCAUAGCUAUUGGUGCAUUCCAUGCUCACCAGAGAGGCGUGUUGGUCAUCUGUUCGGGUGGAAAUGAUGGACCAGAUCCUUACACUGUGGUCAAUUCAGCUCCAUGGAUCCUAACAGUUGCAGCUUCAAGCAUUGAUAGGAAUUUCCAAUCAACAAUAGUUCUUGGUAAUGGAAAUAUGUUCAAGGUAAGUUAGAAAUCCCACUCUUUUGCAUCUGUCUUAAUACGACUUCAGAUUCUCUUUCAUCUUUAGAUCAAAUGGCCAAGAAAUAGCUUCUUAAACAGACCAAAUUUAGACAAACUCAUUCUGAAUUCUUUAGGAAAUUAGUCUCAAGACAAACUCAUAAUGUGUGAAAAUUUUCCAAUGUUCACAGGGAACAGCCAUAAAUUUCUCCAAUCUUAAUCGAUCCGAAUCAUAUCCCCUUGUAUUCGGUGGAGCCGUAGCAGCAGAAUCUACACCGAUAUCAGAAGCAAGGUACCUUAAUGGCUUGCAUAGUUAUUUCUUCGAAUUUAAUAAUCUUCCUCAUAGAAUCAUGCAUUAUGCAUAACAAUAUUUAUUCAUAACAUUGAUUAUCAUGCAAUUGUUCCAUAGCAAUUGCUAUCCUGGAUCGCUUGAUGCUGAUAAAGCUGCUGGGAAGAUAAUAGUGUGUGUCGACACUGAUCCAACAGUAACAAGACGAAUAAAGAAGUUGGUGGCUGAAGGAGCUAGAGCUAAAGGCCUGAUCCUAGUUGAUGAGGCAGAAAGAGGUGUGCCAUUUGAUUCUGGCAGUUUCCCAUUCUCAGAGGUUGAAAAUGAUGUGGGAGUUCAGAUACUUAAGUACAUAAACUCUACCAAGUAAGCUGUAAAGACAUCUAUCCAAGUCUCAUGCUAAAUAUAUGUUUUGAACUCAUGGAAGUUACUAAUAUAGCAUUCAUUUUAUAUACCUGACUAGUCCUUUCUGAUGAAUGCAGAAAGCCUUCAGCAGUCAUUCUAUCAGCUGAGGAAGUAAAAGUGUUCAAACCAGCACCAGUUGUGGCGUACUUCUCAGCCAGGGGCCCUGGAGGACUCACUGAAGCCAUUCUUAAGGUUUGGGAUUCUUCUAAUGCUUGAUUCAGAUGGCAUAAACACGUGUACGAGUGACCUCUGUCAUC